RNAcentral lists this ribosomal RNA (479 nucleotides) under uncultured bacterium. RNAcentral describes it as "bacterial SSU rRNA". It matches the Rfam family "Bacterial small subunit ribosomal RNA", at positions 28 to 507 of the family's 1533-position model. The record is from RNAcentral.
GAUGAACGCUAGCGGAGGCCUAAUACAUGCAGGUCGAACGGUAACAGGUAGCAAUACGCUGACGAGUGGCGCACGGGUGCGUAACGCGUACACAAUCUGCCUUAUACUGGGGCAUAGCCUUUGGAAACGAAGAAUAAUUCCCCAUAAUAUAUAGAAGAGGCAUCUCUUUCAUAUUAAAGCUCAGGCGGUAUAAGAUGAGUGUGCGUCCGAUUAGGUAGUUGGUGAGGUAACGGCUCACCAAGCCAACGAUCGGUAGCUGGUCUGAGAGGAUGAUCAGCCACACGGGCACUGAGACACGGGCCCGACUCCUACGGGAGGCAGCAGUAGGGAAUAUUGGACAAUGGGCGCAAGCCUGAUCCAGCCAUCCCGCGUGAAGGAUGAAGGUCCUCUGGAUUGUAAACUUCUUUUCUUCGGGAAUAAAAACUGGGGUUCUCCUCAGCUUGAAGGUACCGAAGGAAUAAGCACCGGCUAACUCCGUG